This 209-nucleotide ribosomal RNA is filed under the name uncultured bacterium. RNAcentral describes it as "partial 16S ribosomal RNA". It matches the Rfam family "Bacterial small subunit ribosomal RNA", at positions 1294 to 1500 of the family's 1533-position model. The record is from RNAcentral.
CGGAUUGUAGGCUGAAACUCGCCUACAUGAAGCUGGAGUUGCUAGUAAUCGCGAAUCAGCAUGUCGCGGUGAAUACGUUCCCGGGCCUUGUACACACCGCCCGUCACACCAUGAGAGUUGGCAAUACCCAACGUACGUGAUCUAACCCGCAAGGGAGGAAGCGUCCUAAGGUAGGGUCAGCGAUUGGGGUGAAGUCGUAACAAGGUACC